ACCUCAUAACAUUCUUCUUGAUGAAAAUUUCACACCAAAGAUUUCAGAUUUUGGGCUUGCGAAAUUUUAUCCAACCAAGGGGAACAUGGCAUCUCUUACGGCUGCAAGGGGAACAGUAGGAUAUAUGGCACCGGAAUUAUUAUACAAAAACAUUGGACGUGUCUCACAUAAGGCAGAUGUGUAUAGUUUUGGACAGUUGGUGUUAGAAGUUGCAGAUAGAGGGAAGAAAGUAAAUGGAUUUGCUGAAAGUUUAAGUGAAGUUUAUAGUCCAUUUCGGGUUUAUGACCAACUCUCUAGUGGAAAUUUACCAAUAGAAGAGACAGCGGAAGAGGAAAAUUUAAAAGCUCGGAAAAUGAUUAUAACAGGAUUAUGGUGCGUACAGUUUCAACCUUCCGAUCGUCCAGCAAUGAACAAAGUUGUAGAGAUGCUUGAAGGAGAUAUUGAAAGCCUACAAAUGCCUCCUAGGCCUGUUCUAUUUCCUGCAGAUUCAGUGACUACAGAAUCGAAUAGCCUGGCUGAAAAUCCAAGUCAAGGGACCUUCGGAAAUAUUCUGCUCAGUGUGACGGGGGAAGGCUAACAUACCACUCAUUAAAAGAGCAGUCUUCCAUUUCAAAUGAUGGAACAAUAAUCUUCUUCCUCUUGUAUCCUUUAAAAUUGCUCUAAACACUAGAGUUAAUUGAUGAAUUGAUGAUAGUUUGUAAUAAUUCUAUGUUUAAAUUGCAAGUGAUCGCUACUUAUAUUUGCAUCAUAUUUUAGGUUCUUCUAAACUUUAUGAUGUUUAGAGCAUUUGCAGAUGUUUCACCAUUUAUUGGUUUUGUGGCCCUUAUUUGAGUAUAUGAACAACAGAGUUUAGCAAGGAAAAACCUUAUUUGAGCUAAGCAUCUUUA
RNAcentral lists this unclassified non-coding RNA (887 nucleotides) under Hevea brasiliensis (rubber tree). Lineage: Eukaryota; Viridiplantae; Streptophyta; Magnoliopsida; Malpighiales; Euphorbiaceae. The record is from RNAcentral.